GACGAACGCUGGCGGCGCGCCUAACACAUGCAAGUCGAACGAGCGAGAGAGAGCUUGCUUUCUUGAGCGAGUGGCGAACGGGUGAGUAACGCGUGAGGAACCUGCCUCAAAGAGGGGGACAACAGUUGGAAACGACUGCUAAUACCGCAUAAGCCCACGGUGCCGCAUGGCACAGAGGGAAAAGGAGCAAUCCGCUUUGAGAUGGCCUCGCGUCCGAUUAGCUAGUUGGUGAGGUAACGGCCCACCAAGGCGACGAUCGGUAGCCGGACUGAGAGGUUGAACGGCCACAUUGGGACUGAGACACGGCCCAGACUCCUACGGGAGGCAGCAGUGGGGAAUAUUGCACAAUGGGGGAAACCCUGAUGCAGCGACGCCGCGUGGAGGAAGAAGGUCUUCGGAUUGUAAACUCCAGUUGUUGGGGAAGAUAAUGACGGUACCCAACAAGGAAGUGACGGCUAACUACGUG
Molecule: ribosomal RNA, 466 nt
Filed under: uncultured bacterium
Lineage: Bacteria
Description: partial 16S ribosomal RNA
Rfam family: Bacterial small subunit ribosomal RNA
Source: RNAcentral